UUUUGCUAGAAUACUAUCAGUAGUAAACGAGCCGUUUUACUACCUGUUUAUUUUCGAUGAUAGAGCUUCCAAAUUGACGAUCGGCUCCGUUGAACAUGAUCUAUACCACUUGAAGUGUUUAGAAAUUAAAUUUCAAAUCUUUUCGACAUCAUUUGCCUAAUGAUCAAAGGGUUUCAAAAUUUAUAAUUUUAAUAGUCGAUAAGAGGCAUUUUCUCGUUUAACGGCGUAAAGAUAUUCAAAUCAAUUAAAUUUUUGUUAGAAAAUUCUUUAAACUAUUUAAAACAAAAUCUAUACUCUUGAUCUUGAUUACAAGACUCCUAUCAUCAUUUUUUAAAGAAUAUUCAUUUUCAGCCAUUCAUUUUUCUGUUAACUUGAUGGAUAAAAGAACAAUAUCGAAAGUGCGUGAAAUUUGAUUUCUAGGUAGUUUAAAUGGUUUAGAUCAUAUUUAACGGAGCCGAUCGUUAAUUUGAAAGCUCUAUCAUCGAAAACAAAUCGGUAGUAAAACGGCUCGUUUACUCUCGAUAGUAUUCUAGCUCAACUCUAUAUAUAUAUAUAUAUAUAUAUAUAUAGAGCAGUACUGCUGUGCUCUCAGGAGUAUGGAGCCCUCCGUGCUCCUAAACCGUUUUCAAUGAUGGAAUUUUUGAAUCGACGAUCGGCUCCGUUAGACUUGAUCUAGCGUAAUUGAAGUUUCUAGAAAAUAAUUUUUGUGAUUUUUUAAUAUCAUUUACCUAGUGAUCGAAAGGGUUCAAAAUCAAUAAUUUUUAAUGGUUGAUAUCUGCCGUUUUCAAGUUUAACGGUGUAGAAGUAUUCAAAUCAGAUAAAAUUUUGAUACAAAAUUCUUUAUACUAUCUACAACAAGACUACUAAUAUUUAGAUUUUAUGCAAACCUAAAUGCAAAGAGAUCUAUAUUUUAUGAAUUUUAAUUAUUAGAUCAAGAUUUUUUUUUUUUUUUUUCUUUCAACUUUUCACCAAAUAGUAGGACUGGU
RNAcentral lists this long non-coding RNA (986 nucleotides) under Ananas comosus (pineapple). RNAcentral's name for it is "long non-coding RNA (ACOM_LNC008768)". Lineage: Eukaryota; Viridiplantae; Streptophyta; Magnoliopsida; Poales; Bromeliaceae. The record is from RNAcentral.